RNAcentral lists this ribosomal RNA (406 nucleotides) under uncultured bacterium. RNAcentral's name for it is "partial 16S ribosomal RNA". It matches the Rfam family "Bacterial small subunit ribosomal RNA", at positions 29 to 526 of the family's 1533-position model. The record is from RNAcentral.
AGUGAACGCUGGCGGUAGGCCUAACACAUGCAAGUCGAACGAGUGGCGGACGGGUGAGGAAUACAUCGGAAUCUCCUCUGUCGUGGGGGAUAACGUAGGGAAACUUACGCUAAUACCGCAUACUAUUGAUUGAGCAGAUGUCGGCUUAGCUAGUUGGCGGGGUAAAGGCCCACCAUGGCGACGAUCCGUAGCUGGUCUGAGAGGAUGAUCAGACACACUGGAACUGAGACACGGUCCAGACUCCGACGGGAGGCAGCAGUGGGGAAUAUUGGACAAGGGGCGCAAGCCUGAUCCAGCCAUACCGCGUGGGGGAAGAAGGCCUUCGGGUGGUAAAGCCCUUUUGUUGGGAAAGCGGUACCCAAAGAAUAAGCACCGGCUAACUACGUGCCAGCAGCCGCGGUAAUUC